This is a long non-coding RNA of Coregonus clupeaformis (lake whitefish), 243 nucleotides long. RefSeq lists it as uncharacterized. The transcript has 3 exons. NCBI's taxonomy places the organism in Eukaryota, Metazoa, Chordata, Actinopteri, Salmoniformes, Salmonidae. The record is from RefSeq and is a predicted model, not a curated record.
UACAGCUCACUAUCCCUACAGCUGGACCCAUUUCCUGCCAAUGGUGAUGAUGUGACUUACAGCACUGUUGUCCCCAAGAGGAGGAACCAGCUAAAUGUACAGACCAAGCAACCCAAGCUCCAACCACUGAACAAUCCUCUUUCUCUCCAACUGCUGAGCCUGUUCAGACUGACAACACAGUCCAAGGACCUGAGAAGGUCAAGGAGAAGGACACCAUGAGACGAGGGAGAACAUUCUUCUACG